Molecule: non-coding RNA, 375 nt
Organism: Peromyscus maniculatus bairdii (prairie deer mouse)
Lineage: Eukaryota; Metazoa; Chordata; Mammalia; Rodentia; Cricetidae
Source: RefSeq, a predicted model, not a curated record
GAGCAGGCCCUGCACCUCACCUGGGCAGCACAGUACAGCCAACCUUGGCGGUGGAAGUGUGGCUGAGCCCGCUCCAAAGUUGUCAUCUGAUGUCUCAAGCCUUGGUGCGCUCAUCAACCAGGAGGAACAAAGACCAUGGCUUCAGCCACUAUCAUCAAGCUUCAGUGAUUCUCCCUGCACAAGGUAUCCACCUGCCACCCCAUGCCCACAUUUGCUGAGAUACCUGGCAAUGAGGGCGGCCCUACUGACCUCACUCAGAACUGGAGACUGAACACUGACAUCUACCUGUGACGCCCACCCUACUGCCUUGUGACCUGUGAUGGCACUGAAAAGCCAGACAGAGAAAAUGAGCCAGCUUGCCCCUGUCCUCCCUUC